This 352-nucleotide ribosomal RNA is filed under the name uncultured bacterium. Its description in RNAcentral is "partial 16S ribosomal RNA". It matches the Rfam family "Bacterial small subunit ribosomal RNA", at positions 338 to 682 of the family's 1533-position model. The record is from RNAcentral.
CCUACGGGUGGCAGCAGUGGGGAAUAUUGCGCAAUGGGCGAAAGCCUGACGCAGCGACGCCGCGUGAGGGAUGAAGGUCUUCGGAUCGUAAACCUCUGUCAGCAGGGAAGAACGGUCACGGGGCUAAGCAGCAGUGAAUUGACGGUACCGGCAAAGGAAGCACCGGCUAACUCCGUGCCAGCAGCCGCGGUAAUACGGAGGGGGCGAGCGUUAAUCGGAAUUACUGGGCGUACAGCGCUCGUAGGCGGUAUGUCAAGUCAAGGGUGAAAUCCCCGCGCUCAACGUGGGAACUGCCUUUGAAACUGGCAACCUGGAGUGUGUGAUAGGAUAGUGGAAUUCCAGGUGUAGGCGU